GACGAACGCUGGCGGCGUGCCUAAUACAUGCAAGUAGAACGCUGAAGGAGGAGCUUGCUUCUCUGGAUGAGUUGCGAACGGGUGAGUAACGCGUAGGUAACCUGCCUGGUAGCGGGGGAUAACUAUUGGAAACGAUAGCUAAUACCGCAUAAUAGUAGAUGUUGCAUGACAUUUGCUUAAAAAGUGCAAUUGCAUCACUACCAGAUGGACCUGCGUUGUAUUAGCUAGUUGGUGGGGUAACGGCUCACCAAGGCGACGAUACAUAGCCGACCUGAGAGGGUGAUCGGCCACACUGGGACUGAGACACGGCCCAGACUCCUACGGGAGGCAGCAGUAGGGAAUCUUCGGCAAUGGACGGAAGUCUGACCGAGCAACGCCGCGUGAGUGAAGAAGGUUUUCGGAUCGUAAAGCUCUGUUGUAAGAGAAGAACGAGUGUGAGAGUGGAAAGUUCACACUGUGACGGUAUCUUACCAGAAAGGGACGGCUAACUACGUG
RNAcentral lists this ribosomal RNA (495 nucleotides) under uncultured bacterium. Its description in RNAcentral is "partial 16S ribosomal RNA". It matches the Rfam family "Bacterial small subunit ribosomal RNA", at positions 28 to 507 of the family's 1533-position model. The record is from RNAcentral.